This is a long non-coding RNA of Rosa rugosa (rugosa rose), 1757 nucleotides long. RefSeq lists it as uncharacterized. The record is from RefSeq and is a predicted model, not a curated record. The transcript is spliced from 9 exons. NCBI's taxonomy places the organism in Eukaryota, Viridiplantae, Streptophyta, Magnoliopsida, Rosales, Rosaceae.
CUCAUGUUGUUGAGCAGAAGAGACUGAAAAGGCCAAGAAUAUCUAUCAGAUUCUAGAUCUAUCUAAUCACUGUUCUGGCAAUCUACCUUCGUACCAUUCGUAGUCUGGGUAUAUAACCCAUAACAUCGGCUCACGAGUGGCUUCGGGAACUCUCCAUUUACGUCGACUCCAGCUCCUCCACUAUUUGCGAUCUCCGAUCAACGUCAACCUCCAUAGAAACUGAGUUGGAUGCCAUCAUUCUAUAAUCUUCUGUACGUUUCCUUCUAUAAUCUAUUCCCUCAAUUACGGGCUGCUUAAUGAGAAGUUCGAUUUGCUGGUCUUAACCCGGUAGACGACAUCCAAGUCUGAGACCUCGAUGAUCGAUUGGACCGGUUUCAAGUACCGUUCGAAAGCCUUCUUUAUCAUUACAGCCUUGACAUUGGCCCUCAGUCUUUGUUUUGUCUCUCGCUCUCCCUCUGCUUCGCACAGGUAGGUUCUCCAUCGAAUUGGACAGAGUGAUAAAGAAAGUGAGAGAUUGCUGGCACCCAUAGAGAAAGUGAUAUUUGAGAAAUUGGGCUCAUUUGGUCAAAUUGGAAUAUCCGAUUGAGCUGGCAUCCUUUUGAUCAAAUCGGGGGAUUCGUUUGAGCAAUCCGAGAUCUUUGAUGGAUUGAGCUCCAGAUAAGCUUCUUAUUUGGUUGAUUGGUUUUGAAUUUCAGUGCAUGCAGUUUUGGGUGGUGCAAAUGAAUUUGGGAUGUUCAAUUUUGUUUAGAUUAGCCCUGUUUUCUUCAUACUUAUGCAGAUAGUUUUAAAAAUUCCAGGUUUGGCCGAAAAUCUCCCAACUGCUGGUAUCUAUUGGGUCUCCAGUUGAUGUGCAAAUCUGAUAUAAGGAGCAUAAAGGUGAGGCUAGGGGCAAUUAAGAAGAAGAGGAACGCUGUACUGAAUACAUGCUGCUGAUCUUCUCAAGAUUGUCCUUGAUAUUAAUGUAUAUAGAAGGUUCUCACCCAAAAUAUAAAGAAGCUCAUUUUUGUGCUGCUGUAGGUGGAGCUGGGAGUAGCACAGCAGGUCGAAAAGGCAUGGCUGAUGCUCUAGCAGAUAUGAAAAAAGAUGGUGCUUCACCUUCUGAAGGCCAUCCUACAGUUAACCUAAAGAACAAACCUACUAAAGAUGUCCACAAACAUCCAGACACAUCAAAACCAGCGUGGCUUUUGGCUUUGGAAGUAGUGACAAGAACCAAUUAAUGCAGUUAUACUACCCGCAGCAAAGCGCGGGCUCUCAAAGUGUUUGAACUGAAGCUGAAGCUUCAGCCUUUGGUGUCGAGGUCCAUCACUGGGGGGGGGGGGGGGGGAGUUGCCAUCGGAGGCUUGAUCGUGGAUACCAAGGUGUUCUGCUGGCCUAGAAAGUGCACCUAGCUUUGCUGAUUCAAGGACAUGAGUAGGAAAAGGAGCUUUUCUUCAGCUUCAGAAGAUAUUGGAUUGGGGUGAGAACAAUAUUGCCAUUGCUGCUACAACUACUGCUCCUGGGGCGUUGUUUCAGCAAGUUGUUGUUGUUUGGCAUAAGCUUGACCAUCCAGAUAUUUCGAAGUUUGUUGGAGCUUCAAUGGGAAGUUCGAAUCUUAAAAUCAUUGCCAAAGGCACAUCAAGUGGUGGUCAGUCAUAAGUCACCUCCCUGCAGUUCCAGAGAUUAACUUCAAUUUUGCAAUUUGUAAAUAUACGUCUGGUUUAAACAUCACUUUUGUAAUUUGUACGGUUAUAACAUUUUCAAUUUACGUUUUUAGCUUA